CACCCAAUAACUAGCUUAAAUAAUUAAAACAAUAAAUGUUAUUAAUUAAACUUAAAAUUUCCAAAACUUUAAACUAAAACAUUUUUUUGCUCUUAGUAUGGGCGAC
This 106-nucleotide ribosomal RNA is filed under the name Austrofundulus guajira. RNAcentral's name for it is "partial 16S ribosomal RNA". The record is from RNAcentral. Lineage: Eukaryota; Metazoa; Chordata; Actinopteri; Cyprinodontiformes; Rivulidae.